Molecule: long non-coding RNA, 1145 nt
Organism: Notothenia coriiceps (black rockcod)
Lineage: Eukaryota; Metazoa; Chordata; Actinopteri; Perciformes; Nototheniidae
Exons: 2
Source: RefSeq, a predicted model, not a curated record
CCUCGUCUUCCUCUUGUUUUGCAGUCCCAGACGGCGGGUGCAGGACACAGCGACGUGCCUUUGAAGCCGGAGGAGUUCACCAUCGGAGAGUCCACAGUGACCCACACAGAUGGAAAGUUCAGCGCACAACUGUCCAAGCUCACCGCCAUCGGACAGACGCGACACGACGAGCUGUGAUUGGUCAGAAAGUCAGACGUACAGCAACUUCGGUCGAGUGCUGAGCACUGAGGAAAAGGAUUUAACAGCAGCUGGAUCAAAAAAACGAACUGAGAGCUCAAGAAUCAGGAGAAUGUCAUUAAUAUUUUAUCUAACAAAGAUAUUUAUGAUGCAGUUGAUUAAAAAGUCUUGAUUGUAUAAUGGAAAUCUUUGAUAGAUUGAAACGUUGCGCAGUUAUUGCCCAAAGAAAUGCUGAUAUUCUGUCGGUUUUUAAGCUCCGAGUGCGUGUUUCAGCUUAAUGAAGGAUGAAUUUAUGAAUGGGAUAAAACUGAUAUUGCUUUUGCAGUACUUUGUGUUUGAGUACAUGAAUUCCCUUGUAUGCUUUCUACAAUGUAUUUGAAAAUACUGUUGAGUAUCCACAUUUUGUUUUACUGCUCACUGUCCCAGUUAAAACUCUCUUAAAGAUUAAAGAGCUUCCAUAGUUUGGUUUCUGACGAUAUAAGAUUUACACGCAGCACAUCUGCUUGAUCCUGGGGGAGGGCUGUGAAUGUAUGGAGGACUUUGUGCCUGGCGGGGGGUUGUUGAGUAUAGAUAACAUAUUUAGAGUAGCGAGGGGAUUUAUCCAUCUCCUGUAAUCCUGAGAGGAAAGUGAAUAAUCUGCAGUAGCGUCAUCACACACACACACACACACACACACACACAAAAUUACAUUUCCUCUGAUCUGCGCUCUGUUUCUAUUCAUCUGCUCUACAUCGCUGCAAGCCAACAUUUUACCCCCAUAAAUUACCAAUUUGUUCGACUUUGAAUAAUUGUUUUGUUAUUUUUGUGGUUUUCGGCCUGAAGGGAUACUUGUUGAAUAAUGAUAUUAAGAGAAAUGUGUGCAGAAUACACUGAGGAUUAGUGCUUUUUUUGAUAACUCUCAAACAGUCUAAAUGUGAAAUCAUUGAUCUGAGAAUAUAAUAAAAGUACAGAUGCUCCCUCUUGGUUAA